UACGAAGGGGGCUAGCGGUGUUCGGAAUCACUGGGCGUAAAGCGUACGUAGGCGGAUGAAUAAGUCAGGGGUGAAAGCCUGGAGCUCAACUCCAGAACUGCCUUUGAUACUGUUUGUCUUGAGUCCGGGAGAGGUGAGUGGAACUGCUAGUGUAGAGGUGAAAUUCGUAGAUAUUAGCAAGAACACCAGUGGCGAAGGCGGCUCACUGGCCCGGUACUGACGCUGAGGUACGAAAGCGUGGGGAGCAAACAGG
Molecule: ribosomal RNA, 253 nt
Filed under: uncultured bacterium
Lineage: Bacteria
Description: partial 16S ribosomal RNA
Rfam family: Bacterial small subunit ribosomal RNA
Source: RNAcentral